GCCCUUGUAGCUCAGUCGUAGAGCGCUGCACUCGUAAUGCAGAGGUCCGCGGUUCAAUCCCGCGUGGGGGCA
RNAcentral lists this transfer RNA (72 nucleotides) under Aspergillus melleus. Its description in RNAcentral is "tRNA-Thr". It matches the Rfam family "tRNA". From Rfam's summary of the family: Transfer RNA (tRNA) molecules are approximately 80 nucleotides in length. Their secondary structure includes four short double-helical elements and three loops (D, anti-codon, and T loops). Lineage: Eukaryota; Fungi; Ascomycota; Eurotiomycetes; Eurotiales; Aspergillaceae. The record is from RNAcentral.